Molecule: ribosomal RNA, 164 nt
Filed under: uncultured bacterium
Lineage: Bacteria
Description: partial 16S ribosomal RNA
Rfam family: Bacterial small subunit ribosomal RNA
Source: RNAcentral
UAGGGAAUCUUCCACAAUGGACGAAAGUCUGAUGGAGCAACACCGCGUGAGUGAAGAAGGGUUUCGGCUCGUAAAGCUCUGUUGUUAAAGAAGAACACGUAUGAGAGUAACUGUUCAUACGUUGACGGUAUUUAACCAGAAAGUCACGGCUAACUACGUGCCCG